RNAcentral lists this ribosomal RNA (433 nucleotides) under uncultured bacterium. RNAcentral describes it as "partial 16S ribosomal RNA". It matches the Rfam family "Bacterial small subunit ribosomal RNA", at positions 29 to 507 of the family's 1533-position model. The record is from RNAcentral.
AACGAACGCUGGCGGCAUGCCUAACACAUGCAAGUCGAACGAGACCUUCGGGUCUAGUGGCGCACGGGUGCGUAACGCGUGGGAACCUGCCCUUAGGUUCGGAAUAACUCCCCGAAAGGGGUGCUAAUACCGGAUAAUGUCUUCGGACCAAAGAUUUAUCGCCUUUGGAUGGGCCCGCGUUGGAUUAGCUAGUUGGUAGGGUAAAAGCCUACCAAGGCGACGAUCCAUAGCUGGUCUGAGAGGAUGAUCAGCCACACUGGGACUGAGACACGGCCCAGACUCAUACGGGAGGGGGGGGGGGGGAAUAGGGGAAAAGGGGGGAAGGCCUGACCAGGCAAGGCGGGGGGAGGAAUGAGGCCUUGGGGGUAGAAAAGCUUUUUUACCGGGGAGGAUAAGGACGGUACCGGAAAAAAAAGCCCCGGCUAACCCCGUG